Molecule: ribosomal RNA, 260 nt
Filed under: uncultured bacterium
Lineage: Bacteria
Description: partial 16S ribosomal RNA
Rfam family: Bacterial small subunit ribosomal RNA
Source: RNAcentral
CGUGAGAUGUUGGGUUAAGUCCCGCAACGAGCGCAACCCUUGUCCUUUGUUGCCAGCGGGUAAAGCCGGGAACUCAAAGGAGACUGCCAGUGACAAACUGGAGGAAGGCAGGGAUGACGUCAAGUCAUCAUGGCCCUUACGGUCAGGGCUACACACGUGCUACAAUGGGGCGUACAGAGGGAAACGAUACCGCGAGGUGGAGUGGAACCCAAAAAGCGUCCCUAAGUUCGGAUUGGAGUCCGCAACUCGACUCCAUGAAG